This 720-nucleotide ribosomal RNA is filed under the name Mesorhizobium mediterraneum. Its description in RNAcentral is "bacterial SSU rRNA". It matches the Rfam family "Bacterial small subunit ribosomal RNA", at positions 56 to 824 of the family's 1533-position model. The record is from RNAcentral. Lineage: Bacteria; Pseudomonadati; Pseudomonadota; Alphaproteobacteria; Hyphomicrobiales; Phyllobacteriaceae.
UGCAAGUCGAGCGCCCCGCAAGGGGAGCGGCAGACGGGUGAGUAACGCGUGGGAAUCUACCCAUCUCUACGGAACAACUCCGGGAAACUGGAGCUAAUACCGUAUACGUCCUUCGGGAGAAAGAUUUAUCGGAGAUGGAUGAGCCCGCGUUGGAUUAGCUAGUUGGUGGGGUAAUGGCCUACCAAGGCGACGAUCCAUAGCUGGUCUGAGAGGAUGAUCAGCCACAUUGGGACUGAGACACGGCCCAAACUCCUACGGGAGGCAGCAGUGGGGAAUAUUGGACAAUGGGCGCAAGCCUGAUCCAGCCAUGCCGCGUGAGUGAUGAAGGCCCUAGGGUUGUAAAGCUCUUUCAACGGUGAAGAUAAUGACGGUAACCGUAGAAGAAGCCCCGGCUAACUUCGUGCCAGCAGCCGCGGUAAUACGAAGGGGGCUAGCGUUGUUCGGAAUUACUGGGCGUAAAGCGCACGUAGGCGGAUAUUUAAGUCAGGGGUGAAAUCCCGGGGCUCAACCCCGGAACUGCCUUUGAUACUGGGUAUCUCGAGUCCGAGAGAGGUGAGUGGAAUUCCGAGUGUAGAGGUGAAAUUCGUAGAUAUUCGGAGGAACACCAGUGGCGAAGGCGGCUCACUGGCUCGGUACUGACGCUGAGGUGCGAAAACGUGGGGAGCAAACAGGAUUAGAUACCCUGGUAGUCCACCCCCUAGACAAUAGAAACUAUCCGUU